Long non-coding RNA from Gossypium arboreum, 768 nucleotides. RefSeq lists it as uncharacterized. The transcript has 2 exons. The record is from RefSeq and is a predicted model, not a curated record. NCBI's taxonomy places the organism in Eukaryota, Viridiplantae, Streptophyta, Magnoliopsida, Malvales, Malvaceae.
CAAAUCUGAUAAUGUCCCCAAUCCCAAAACACUGCGUUGAGAUGCGGGCUAAAAUGCAAAAGCACUCGAAUUUUGGGAAAAUUUUAAAAGAAAACAAAACAAAUCAGACGCAAAUGGGAGCGGAUCAUAAUGCGGCGCAAAGGGGAAGGACCUGUUGCACAAAUAACCCAUUUUGAGCGCAAUAGCGCGGAUCCGGGUCCUUGAACGGGUUGACGUGCGGGUUACUUCCCCUGAAACGGCGUCAUUUCAUUGUAUGCCCAAAAUUAAAAGAAAAUUGAAUGGCAAUUAGCCAUUUGUUACAAGCCUAAUACCCAAUUAUUAAGGUUUCGACGCAGCAGCUUUCCUCUGUUAAGGCCAUUUAAUCACCAGUUCACCAUUAAAAUUGGUGAGUGAUGUAGAAGGAUCCUUUAUUUCCAUCAAAGUCGACACUCAAAGACUGUUUUCAUUGGAGAAUCCGCAUCUUUAACCCCGAUUUCGACGGAGAAGACAAGGGAUCUCAUCAAUGCAUCCACGAAGGUGUGGAGAAACGGCCGUACGGAGAAAGCCGCUCGUGAAAGCCUUGCGUGGGAAAACCCCUGUGAAAGCUUGAUUGCAGUACUAGCGUGUUCUAGAAACUUUUAGAUUUCUGGUAUUUUCAAACUAUUGGGCCUUUUGGGCCGUUUGUGAAUUGGGCUAAGGGACUUUGGGAUUUUGGGUGUAGGUUUAUUAGGUUUAAUAUUUGGGCCUUUAUUUUUGGAUUAAAUAAGUUGAAAUAAUCUUUUUGGACCA